CCCCUGGGCCCAGACCAGGCGGUUGAGGACGUCGUGGAAGCCCAGCUGGGGCUCCUGGUCCUCAUCCCUGAGGACAAUGGGCUGCAGGAGAUUCAAGUCUGGUUUCCAGCCCAACCGCCUGCAAGCACCUCUCCAACACCCUGCGCGCUUUCCACACGUUUCUUUCACUUAUGACCUCCUGGCUCCUGAGGCAGGGAUGGCUGUCCGGCCACCAACAUCUGCCCACCAGACUGGGGCCAGGGGCUGCACCCCGUCCCCCCGAACCACGGAGGGGGGCGGGGUAACCCUGUGGGUCUGGGGGUGCUGGAGCCGCACACCGGAAGGAGCCCUGAAUCACCGCACGGAGGUCCCCCGGGGGUGACAGCCCUCCUGCUACACUGUUACGAGUGAGAAAGAAAUGUUACUGUGUUUGAGUUAUUUAUUGCAGUGGCUGGUGCUGGCCUGUCCCUUGGUGUUCCCUAUGCUGUGAAGUGCAGAGCCGAUGUGACAUUUCUAAAAUGAUGUCAGAUCAGCGGUUGGGCGGGAGGUUGUCAAAAAAUAGUGGAGCUUGAUAAUAGAUACGCAUGUUAUGAAUGCAAUAUAUUGGGUUUCAAAGGCAACGACUUCCAGUUUGUGAGUGGGGUCUGUGUCCUUGUGUUUUGGCCUUCUGCCCUACUGUGGGAGUUCAUCAUCAUCUUCAUUGCCUGUGGCUUACUACUAGUGAGUGUUAGUGUUUCUUGAGGGCUCAAUUUCCUUUGGUACCCCAUGGAAAAUUCCUAUUUUCUAAUUAUGUCAUAACUCUAACUUGGCCAAUAAAUUGUCUUAGCCCAUUAUCUUAGAAAACACAUUGUAAAAUCUCCUGGUAGAAACUUUUUCUCUCAUAUUUCUUCUUCAGGAGAAAAUAUCUUUUCUUUGAAAAAGCACAAAAACCUCUCAUGAACUAGUUUCCCAUUUAUGUUUUCAUUAAUUCAUACUGACUCCCAAAACUUCUCCAAAGGUGGAAAGGUUCUUACCUGUAAUAAGAGGUACCUAUGCCCUCCAUAUAUACAUACAUGGUGGCAUACAUAUUAUUCAGUCCUGUCUACUAGACCUUCUAGUUUUACUAUUGCCAGCUGUUUCAAGUAUCUCUCAAUUUAUUUAAAAAAUUUUAUUGAACACAUUAUUAUCUGGACACUAUCCUUGGAUUCACUUUGCAGUUUGUCUGUAUCUAAAUCCUGUCUCCCAGUCCUCCUCCUUUUGAAGUUCCUAACCAAAGGAGCUGGAUGCAUCAAUAUGCCAACACAAUUAACUAAAAAACCAAGGUUUUUAGUUGUUUGACUAUGAUCUCACAUGGUCAUAGCAAUACAGUUAUUUUAAAAACGUCAAGCAGAAACAUCUAUUUGCUGAAGUUCACAAAAUUCCUAUGGUCCCUUUCUCCAACUGAAGCAGUAGGGGGAUCAUAGUCUGGCGGACAAUGUACUGAAUGCAGGGUCAUGUGAUCAGAUUAUCAGGGCCUGAAAAAUUACCCUCUGAUGUUGGGCAAAUCAAUUAAUGUCCCAACUCUACGAUUUUAUUUAUAAAUAAAAGGCAUAAUAGUAUUUUCAUCCAGAUGUAUUACUAUAAAACAAUAGUAACAAAAACUAACAAUUCUCCAGCUGUUAUAUAUCAGAAACUUAACUUGCAAUUUUGCAUAGGUUUUCCUAAUUAAUUCUGAAAUCAGAUCAACACGUAUAG
This is a long non-coding RNA of Manis pentadactyla (Chinese pangolin), 1692 nucleotides long. RefSeq lists it as uncharacterized. The transcript is spliced from 3 exons. Lineage: Eukaryota; Metazoa; Chordata; Mammalia; Pholidota; Manidae. The record is from RefSeq and is a predicted model, not a curated record.